Potamilus streckersoni is the source of this 66-nucleotide non-coding RNA. NCBI's taxonomy places the organism in Eukaryota, Metazoa, Mollusca, Bivalvia, Unionida, Unionidae. The record is from the annotation of a GenBank genome assembly.
GUAGCCUAAUGGUAAAGCGUCCGCCUCGGAAGCGGGAGGUCGUGGGUUCGAUCCCAGGCCAAGUCA